AUGAGCUUCGAUUGGGAAGACCUCUUUCCUCUAGUCUCGGUUCGUAAACUUGUUAGAGAUGUGUCAGACCAUAAUCCUUUGCUUUUGUCCUCGAGUCCUGUGAAAACCAGUCCCCUUCAUAAUCGUGAAUUCAGAUUCGAGCUUAGCUGGCUGAAAAACGAGGAGUUUUACCUGAAAGCUAAAAGCAUUUGGGAGCAGCCAGUUAACGCGAGCGAUCCGAUCGAUAUCCUUAACAUUAAGCUGAAACGUAUCAAGAAAUACUUUAAGGGUUGGGGGUCACACUCUUUU
Molecule: ribosomal RNA, 288 nt
Filed under: Triticum aestivum (bread wheat)
Lineage: Eukaryota; Viridiplantae; Streptophyta; Magnoliopsida; Poales; Poaceae
Description: partial small subunit ribosomal RNA
Source: RNAcentral